UAUGCCAUCGAACUGGUUCUUCAAGUUCAGUAUAUUGAUCAACCAUUCGAGUGUAUGACACAUUGGUAUGCUCGUGUGACACACCUUUCGUAAACUUGGGAUACAGAUCCUUCUUAGCUAUCCAUACAUGUCCAUACCUUCUAGGUUCCACAUAACAAAGGUUCAUCCUCCAAGCUCGCUCAAUUUGGUGUCUUCGAGAAUAACAGAAAUCAACCUUAUGACCAUGAUUCCCACAAAACAAACAACCAUUCCUCCUAGUUAUUGCAGGCUUUGGAGAGUGUAAUUUUGUCUGAGCAUUAGGUUCUUUUUUCACAGGUGCAGAUGUAUGUCUUUUCUCAGCUUUUGAGCUACUUUCAGGGUGAGAUGGAGUACCUUUUACAAACUUGAUAACAUCGACUGGAAUAGCUUGA
This 410-nucleotide long non-coding RNA is filed under the name Brassica napus (rape). RNAcentral describes it as "long non-coding RNA (BNAP_LNC020956)". Lineage: Eukaryota; Viridiplantae; Streptophyta; Magnoliopsida; Brassicales; Brassicaceae. The record is from RNAcentral.